Long non-coding RNA from Cygnus olor (mute swan), 5318 nucleotides. RefSeq lists it as uncharacterized. NCBI's taxonomy places the organism in Eukaryota, Metazoa, Chordata, Aves, Anseriformes, Anatidae. The transcript has 3 exons. The record is from RefSeq and is a predicted model, not a curated record.
GGGGGGUGGGGGCGGCCGCCCCCGCGCUGCUUUCCGUCAGCGCCCGCGGCCGGGGCUCCUCUCCCUGCCCCCGCACGCAUUGCACGAAGCGCGGGGGCCGCUGAAAUGGCCGGGGCGGCGGGCGGAGGGGCACCCGUCGAGGACACGCGCAAAUAUGUACACGCAUACACAGCUAUUAAAGUCCCAAGGUUCAACACGGGGUGGAUCGGUGAGAGCCAGGGCAGAAGCAAAAUUCUCUGAGGAACUGAAUUUCGUUAAUGCCUCACACGCUCUUACAACAUCUCCCUAGCCCUAACAUCAGCACUGACUUGGAAGAUCCACCCCACUUCCCCUUUCUGACUCCCUUGAAGUGUUCCCCCAGCCCUCUUGAAGUGAUUACCCGUGCCCUGCCUACUGUGUUUGUUUUCUCCCAAAAUCCCAUAAAGCGCGCAGACACCCUCCAGCACUCGAUGUUAGUAAAAAGCCUUGAGCAGCGGGAGCCGUCUGACUCCAGAACCGAUGGAGGGGGAUGGCGCGAAGCAGCUGAUCCCGCUCCUGCCAAAGUGACUCAGAUGAUGUUCUCUGGAGGCCUGAAGAAGCGGGCUCGAGUGGAAGCCAGCGGGGCAGGCGUGUCUGUCCGAGCUGCAGUUCUUGCAUCUGUGCCCGGACCAAGUGCCAGGAUGCUGCGAGCCGCAGGCAGGCGCUGGGGACAGUGACAGCUCUGUGGAGAGCUGCGCAGCAUGUCGCCUGUCAGAAAGCUGUGGGGAUGCUCUCCUCCUGUUGCAGAGAGCAGAAGGCUACAGCUGCAGCAUGCGUCUGUUGCUAAGGUAGCGCGUAACGCACCCAUGCUCGCCUCCGAGCAAAACAGCGCUCGCUGGAAAUCUCAUGCAGCCAGGAGUCUUGCGUGAGAGGGUGCUGCUUUGAGGCAGGUGCUGCCUCCUAUACUACUGAGCUGGGUUUCACAAAUCCCCCCAAAAUAACUCUCCGUGCAUGCAGUUUCCCUGGUUUUCAGGGGGGAGCUAUGCCGUCUAGCUAGGUGUGCUCUGCUUGCUGCUGCUGAGAAAGGUCAGCGAUGCCUCUCCUUGCUGAGAAUUUCAGGAAACUGGAUUAUGCAGCACAAGGCAGUUCAGAGGCUCUGGAUUCCUACUGAGAGAAAUGUUAGGCAGUUCUGCUCUCCUUUCCAAGCUAGGUGUGCAAAGCAAACCCCGCAUGCUCUAACAGCUUGCCACAGGAACACCUCGAAAGCUGUGAAAAGCCAGCCCCAUCUCUGACUUGCAUAGUGGGCCCAAGUGCCCCUAUAGCAAUAGUUCAUGUAUUUUGAAAACUGUGCAUGAGUCCCUCAUUUAUGACUUGCGAGGCACAGUUUUCCUCUUUAAAUUAGGCAGCUAUUUUGCUGCCAUUACUAGGCACCGAUCUGCCAUUUUAUGCUGGUUUACAGCUCUUUGGAGUGCCAUUGAUCAUCCGUUAUCUGUGUGCAGCAACUGAAGCUGCUACAGGCACGAAGCACACACACAAAACAGUGCACAGGAGGCAGCGACGGCCCUAGCUGGCAGGAAAAUCCUGAAGAGUGACAUAAAAGCCUGCAUGCCUAAAGCAAAGGGUAUCUGUAGAUAGAUUUGUCAAACUGGCUGUGAGAGCUGUCUCCCUCAGCAGUGGCCUGACCUUUGUGUUCAUGGGCUCGCUCGACACACGUGCUGCCCCAUGUCACAAUGCUCACAAAAACCAUCUGCAUCCAGAAAUCACAGUAAAUAGCAACAUCAUAGGUGAUACUUUGUUCUUCCAGCGCCGCAAAGCAGACACAAAGGAGGAUGUUACCCCUUCUUUUUUUUUUGAUCUGGAAACCAAAGCAUGCUGUGGUUAAAUGAACUGACUAAAGUCGCAUAAUCAGCCAGUGGCAGGGCUGAGAAUAGGCUCCAUGUCCUUUCCUCCAGGCCUAAGAUCUAACUCAGAACCAUCUUGGGGGCAGAGGCAGGCUACCAAAGCUAUACAUCACAGCUCUACAGAACAUGACAUUUUUAGAACAAGCUCGGCCACGAACUUACCACAGUUUGUCAAAAAAAAAAAAAAAAAAAAAAGGCAACAAAAUUUUCUUAUGAGAGAUCCUGCCUGGGCAAGAGGGCAAAAAAGGGAUUAAAGUGACAUUUAUAAAUAUUAAUGGGCUUCUAAGCAUUACAAAAGACCAAAGCCUGAAUUAACUUUCAGGAACAGUUGCUGCACACCUAGUCAAAAAUAAAGGAAUGCUGUGAAUAAGUGUAAACCUUUCACAGUUGUUUGAUAUGGCUAAUAUGCAGUCAUUUUUCAUCCACUUCAAAAUGAUUUUAGGGAAACGGUGCUUCUUUCACAACCACCCUUCCCUGGCUCUUACCCGUACUUCCUACUGCAUGCCCAAGACACGUGAGGUUCCCUUUGCAGACCAGCAGUUUCACCUGUGGCGGACCGAUGGCAACAGAGCAACUGUCUGCGGUGUUAUCUGCAGCUGCCCUCCGCUGAAACGAGGCUCCCGGAGAUGUGGGUCAGAUAAUCACUCCUUCCAAGGCAGAGGCACCGGAUGUCCAGUCUGCUUCUGAGGGCUGGCCACUGAGAGCAAUGACAUCCUUUGCCUGAGGCAACAUUCAUAGACACCCACAGCCACUUCCUCCCGACCUGGUGCUGUGUUCGCCCAGUAACACGAUCUGGGGAAGAGGAAGGUGCCGUUCAGUGAUACGGGUAAUACAGCUGCCCUGCCUAGUUGCGCGGUGGGAAUGGAGAUCAGCGGGGAAGUUUACACACCACAGGUUCCUGGGUGUCCUGGGCUCUAAUGACUCACUGUGAAAACCUCCCUGGAACAUCAUCACUGCACAGUUUGUGCAAGGGAGGUAGGUCAGUGCCAGAAUUAGCCCCAGACGGAGUCUACCAAGACGCUACUUCCAGGAAGGCAGAGUCCUGAAUGAAACAGGACCCUCAGCGCUGACAGCUGUACUCUAGUACAGGGUGAAAAGCACCAAGAAGUGACUUCCAGUACUAUCCUGACCAGCCACUGAAAACAGAAGCCUUCUUGUCCGGCUUUUGUUUUCAAAUGGCCAAUACGAACUGAUAAGCACUGGCACCAUUGUCUGGAAUAAAUGUGUUUUCAACCAGUAGAAGACUGGUGUGUUGUAAACAACUAUUGCAUGAAGUAAAGCAUACUCAAUCACAGAAGUACAAGAAAGGACACUUUUGGAGCUAGCACACUUAUGACAGUGAAAAGGAAGUAUCAUCAUUCUCUGUGAUGAAAUAUGAAAUGGAGUGUUGUAAAAUUACUUGAUACACCUUUACAAUUGUUGCAUUUUUGCUGUCAUAGCAAAGUUCCAUCUUCUGCUUGUCAGAAGGUCCCUCAUAAGUCACACACUUAUGCACUAGCAUUUUGAAUUUCAAGUAACUAAAACACAAAUGCCACGCUUCUUUUCAGAUGCAGACCUAUUCUGCUGGUGCACAGCAAGUAUGCUAUUCUGUAUGCUGUGGGUCCUCUUCAUUGCUGUGGUCUUGAAGCUCUAGGUUGGGGUCACUCUGAUAAAAUCAGAAAUGGCAAAAUUGGAUGUUCAGAGAGACUCCACUACUGCAGGGCCAUAGGCUAAAAGUCUAGGGGUUAAGGGGAGUAUUACAUUGUUCUAAAGGCUUCAUAAUGUGGCCUUAUCUUCUCCCAUUUCUCUUCUUCUCGCACGCUGGGACAGAACAUUGUUUUUUCACAAACAAAACGUUCCCUCCUCCUAGCCAAACCUCAUGCUGAUAAAGGUCAGGUUAACCUGCUUUGAAGCUCUCUGUAUCACUACAGCUCUUCAAGAUGCAGGUAAGAAUGAAGUUUCUCCACAGAAACAAAUACAGUUCAAAUACAAGGGGUUUUAAAAAUGACAACACAGCAAUGUUGCCUCCAGAGAAAGAAAUAAGUAGGUCCAUCCAGAGUUCUGAGGGUUUAAGGUAUAAAGAUUAUUAAAAGAGAGACAGUAAAGAUGUUUAAAAAAGAAAGUGACAUAGGAAAAGUAAUCCUUACUCAGAAGAUUGGGUAGCCUGCCCACAAGAACAAUUCAAGAGAUCAAGCCUACCAGAUGCCUUGAAUUUGUAAGCAGCUUGUGUGGUUUUUAUUUUCAUCAUUUUAUUUGAUUCGUUCUGGGCACAGAAGCUACUACCUGGCUCUAGCACCACUUCUUCCUUCCCCCUUAUUAUAGUGAUCAAUGAGACACUGAAUUUUGAUUAGCUGCUUUUAGUAGAAGGGUGCCAAGUACCACGGUGUUCACCUUCCUUCUGUCUGUAGCUGUAGUAUCACAUUGGGUUUGUCCUGCAGUCUGUGAGAGCAGUAGGGUUUUCUUAAAUACUCUGUAGAGAAGCUAAGGUAUACAACGGGAUAGGUGGGUCCAACUUCCUGCUUCUCAUCUCCUCGUGACAACCACAGGAAACGAUGCCAGCAGGCCUCCCCUCCCAGCAGUGGCCGCUUGCAUGUGACACUCUUACAGAGAUGUAUCAGGUACUUUCCACCCAGGUUAGCAGAAGCUCAGACAGAUUAACUGCAGUUACAUUCAGGUCAUGCUGUCAAACUUUCCUUUGCAACCAUGUAAGCUGUGGCUGUCAAAAUUUGGGACGAACUGCCAACAUAGCAGAAGAAUUUGAGAGUUAAACUGGAAGCAGUUCUUAGCAAAGACUUGCAAGCACAACUGUGCAAAACAGUGUUCAAACCCACUCCUUUCUGUAACACUGCUAUGUCAGCAUAACUUUUAAAUGUAGAACAAACGCUAAAAGCAUACAUUUUCAGUGAAACUGGAAAAGUGUGAUGGAAGUACACAAUCCUUUGUUGAUAGGCACAGGACAGAAUCUGGUCCUGCCUUGCUCUCUUAGCUGUUUGAGGUUAAUGAGAAUUUGUUUUACCUCUGUUGUGUUUUUGGCCCUUGACUAUACGAGCAGUCGCUAAAGGACUGCAGGAGAAAUUCUAACUACAAAAUACAGAAUUUUGAUCGUUAAGUGCUUGAAAGGAAUCAUGAUCAUUAGAAGAAAAAGCAGUGCACCUAAGAGAGAUAAGAGGCCAAGGACUAAGCAGAAGCAAUAAAGGGAAUGUGACUAAGUGGAGGCAUAUCUUUUAUAUUUAAGCUAAGGUAAUACAGAAGAGCUUUUCAAGUGAAGUUUUUUUCAUUCUACUAGUUUAAAUUUGUUAUCUGCACGUCAAUCCUAUACACAACCAGAGAAAAUCUAAUUGUAUACCUACAAUUGUAUAUUCAACUGUAUAUCUGUUCUAACACAGUUACUUGCAAUCCUAUUCUUUAAUCAAGUUCUCACAAACUCAUAUGUAGUGUUAAGUACAUUCUUAUUAAAACAGAAAUGUCAGAGUACUGAAG